GCGAAAACUUUACAAUGCGAGCAAUCGUGAUAAGGGAACUCCGAGUGCCUGUAAAAUCAGGCUGUCCGCCAGUUUAAAUAACUGGUGAAGAAAGGGCCGGGCAAGACCGGUGCCAGCCGCCGCGGUAAUACCGGCGGCUCGAGUAGUGGCCACUAUUACUGGGCUUAAAGCGUUCGUAGCUGGUCUGUUAAGUCUCUGGGGAAAUCUUCCGGCUUAACCGGAAGGCGUCUCAGGGAUACUGGCAGACUAGGGACCGGAAGAGGUGAGAGGUACUCCAGGGGUAGGAGUGAAAUCCUGUAAUCCUUGGGGGACCACCUGUGGCGAAGGCGUCUCACCAGGACGGCUCCGACAGUGAGGAACGAAAGCUGGGGGAGCAAACC
Molecule: ribosomal RNA, 380 nt
Filed under: uncultured prokaryote
Description: bacterial SSU rRNA
Rfam family: Archaeal small subunit ribosomal RNA
Source: RNAcentral